Long non-coding RNA from Pygocentrus nattereri (red-bellied piranha), 2248 nucleotides. The record is from Ensembl. Lineage: Eukaryota; Metazoa; Chordata; Actinopteri; Characiformes; Serrasalmidae.
CACGCAGUUCAUGCCUUCGUUAGCCUUCAGUCGACGCGCUACCGGCGGCGACGGAAACGGCGCAGGAUCAAAACCGCCGCCUCCGCCUGUGUGUCGGCAUCGGGGGAUUAGCUCAAAUGGUAGAGCGCUCGCUUAGCAUGCGAGAGGUAGCGGGAUCGAUGCCCGCAUCCUCCACACGCUUCGUUUAUGCUCUCGGAAAAGCGCUCCGAGUGCCGCGGUGACGCUUUCAGAUGCGGAGCAGGCUUCACGCUGCUGGAGAACACAGCUGAUUGAUCCCCAGGGGGUCGGAGUAGUUUUCUCUGUGUGGAUCUGAUACAUUAUGUGUAACACGGUACAACGACGUUUUAGAGCCACUGCUCAUAAAGUAAAAAAUAAAGUGUUGUCCUGAGUCCUUCUGCUGCUGGUGUGGAGACCCAGGCAGAUCUUCAGUUUGUGAAGGAAGAAGACCUGCUGGAACACCUCAAACCAAUCCAGUGCCACAAGCUUUUAAAUGCUUGAAAAUGUGAAGAAUUAUGGAGGGCUUUGAGGUGAAAGGAAAGAGGAUUCUACAAUUCUUUGAAGAAAAACCAACAAACGACGAGGUUCGUGCCAUUUUGUUGAAGUCUGGACAAGAAAGUUCUCUGGUUCCAAGCAUUUUGCUGCUCCUGAUGGCCCACUUUAAGGAGAAAUCUGAAUCUCUUCUUCUCGAAGCUGAUGUGGCAGCAACUGCAGCAGAUGUCCAAAGAACAGUUACAUUACAAGAUUCACCCAGGCUGAUUACCCAAGAAGGUGGACCGGAGAGGAGGAGUAAGAAGCUUCCGCCUGGUGAAUAGAGGAACGAUAUAAACAGCCCCGACAUUUUCAGGCAGUUCUGACUGCAGCAGUGACUUCAUCAGCUCGUCACCGCGAGUCUCACUGCGUGCAACCAGGUGAAUGUUCAUCGCUGUGACCUGUAGCUUCUCAGACACGUCUCUGCUGCGUCCCCUCGUCACCAGCCCUGGCGCUUUACUCCGCGGAGUUAACGGCAACGCUACUCCACACAGGCCGGGGCUCGUGUUCAGCCCGCUGACCCGGAUGUUGGUUGCUAGGCUACCGUCAUAUUUACUCAGCGGUAAAGCUGGUGAGAGCUGAAAUCUGUAAAACAGCGUCAUUUCGGUGUUUUAGAACCGAAUAAACUGUUCAUUUCACAGCGAAGACGUCUGUUCACACCCUUUAUCUUCCACUUUUACUUCUCUCUGCCAGAGCAGAAGGAAAAAGAGGGACCCCGUCGAGUUGUUUACAGGAUUAGCCUGAUCGCGAGUCGAUGUUCUCCCCUCAGCCGGGGGUCUGAAGACGGUUUAGAGUCGGAAGCCUCGCGCUCUCUGUUGCGCUUUUCUUUUCCCCUUUAUUCUGUAUUCGAAUGAUUUUAUUCUUCUUUGGUUGCACCCAUCAUUUUUUCGGUUCCUUUACCUGUAGUACUCUUUUAAAUUGCGCCUUUUUGUGUGUAAAUUGCACCAUUUUUUGUGUGUGCAUGUUCUUUGUACAAUAAAAACAAAACAAAAAGAACUCAGCCUGGGGUUUGUUUGGAAACUGCUGCGUGUUUUGGUGCCUUUUAAUUCGUUACUGUAGAGAAACGAAUGCAUUACAUUUAUUUGACUUCCGUUUAUUAUUAAUCACAUUUACUGUCUGCCUUGGGGUCUGUCGGCUGACGUCACGCGUCUCCGCGUUCGGCGGGGUGACGUCACACCGCCGAACCUUUUAUGCCCCAUUGUGACCACAAUGUGGUAUAAAAGGUUCGGCGGGGUGACAAUAGGUUAUAAAAGGAGCUGUCAGUUUGGUUUGGGUCAUUUGUGUGUUUGUCUCUGGAGAGGAAGUUUCUCUGAGAGUGGAAAAGAGAAUAAGAGCAUGAAGAUGGACAAUCAAACAGUAAGUUCUGUUUUCUUUACUCUUUUAGUAAUUAAUAUUAAUCAUUUCUCAUGGAGAAAAAUUUGGAUAUAAUUGGCCAGAAUCUACUAGUGGAUCUGUUAUUGGUUAAAAUGAAUAAUUUUCUCUCAUGAGAUGAAAAAGAGCGAUUUAUCUGGUCACUGUGUGUGUGUGUGUUACUACUGCUAUUAUUAUUAUUAUUAUUAUUAUUAUUAUUAUUAUUAUUAUUGUUAUGUAAUUUAUAUGUACAUAAUAAUAUGCACAUAAUGUUAUUAUGUGCAAUUUAUUUUACUUGAUUUAUGGCACCAAUCUACAGUAUGUUUAUGUGUAUAGAUAAAUAUUAUAUAUAUAUAUAUCCAUCCAUCCA